UACGUAGGGUGCAAGCGUUGUCCGGAAUUAUUGGGCGUAAAGAGCUCGUAGGCGGUUCGUCGCGUCGGCUGUGAAAACCUGAGGCUCAACCUCAGGCCUGCAGUCGAUACGGGCGGACUUGAGUACUGCAGGGGAGACUGGAAUUCCUGGUGUAGCGGUGAAAUGCGCAGAUAUCAGGAGGAACACCGGUGGCGAAGGCGGGUCUCUGGGCAGUAACUGACGCUGAGGUGCGAAAGCGUGGGGAGCAAACAGG
RNAcentral lists this ribosomal RNA (253 nucleotides) under uncultured bacterium. Its description in RNAcentral is "partial 16S ribosomal RNA". It matches the Rfam family "Bacterial small subunit ribosomal RNA", at positions 524 to 776 of the family's 1533-position model. The record is from RNAcentral.